GAACGCUGGCGGCGUGCUUAACACAUGCAAGUCGCGCGUGAAAGGACUUCGGUCCGAGUAAAGCGGCGCACGGGUGAGUAACGCGUGGAUGAUCUACCCAUGAGUUAGGAAUAACGGCUGGAAACGGUCGCUAAUACCAAAUACGCUCCGAUUUCAACUUCGGGGGAAAGGUGGCCUCUGCUUGCAAGCUACUGCUCAUGGAUGAGUCCGCGUCCCAUUAGCUAGUUGGUGGGUAACGGCCCACCAAGGCGACGAUGGGUAGCCGGUCUGAGAGGAUGACCGGCCACACUGGGACUGGAACACGGCCCAGACUCCUACGGGAGGCAGCAGUGGGGAAUAUUGCGCAAUGGGCGAAAGCCUGACGCAGCGACGCCGCGUGAGGGAUGAAAGGUCCUCGGAUCGUAAACCUCUGUCAGGAGGGAAGAACCGCCACGGUGCUAAUCAGCCGUGGUCUGACGGUACCUCCAAAGGAAGCACCGGCUAACUCCGUGCCAGCAGCAGC
This 502-nucleotide ribosomal RNA is filed under the name uncultured bacterium. RNAcentral's name for it is "bacterial SSU rRNA". It matches the Rfam family "Bacterial small subunit ribosomal RNA", at positions 31 to 518 of the family's 1533-position model. The record is from RNAcentral.